RNAcentral lists this ribosomal RNA (422 nucleotides) under uncultured bacterium. RNAcentral describes it as "bacterial SSU rRNA". It matches the Rfam family "Bacterial small subunit ribosomal RNA", at positions 355 to 774 of the family's 1533-position model. The record is from RNAcentral.
UGAGGAAUAUUGGACAAUGGGUGAGAGCCUGAUCCAGCCAUCCCGCGUGAAGGACUACAGCCCUAUGGGUUUUAAACUUCUUUUGUAUGGGGAUAAACCUAUCUACGUGUAGAUAGCUGAAGGUACCAUACGAAUAAGCAUCGGCUAACUCCGUGCCAGCAGCCGCGGUAAUACGGAGGAUGCGAGCGUUAUCCGGAUUUAUUGGGUUUAAAGGGUCCGUAGGCGGACUUAUAAGUCAGCGGUGAAAUCCUAUAGCUUAACUAUAGACCUGCCGUUGAUACUGUAAGUCUUGAAUAGUAUUGAAGUAGCCGGAAUGUGUAGUGUAGCGGUGAAAUGCAUAGAUAUUACACAGAACACCAAUUGCGAAGGCAGGUUACUAAAUACCGAUUGACGCUGAUGGACGAAAGCGUGGGGAGCGAACA